UACGGGGGGGGCAAGCGUUGUUCGGAAUUACUGGGCGUAAAGGGCUCGUAGGCGGCCAACUAAGUCAGACGUGAAAUCCCUCGGCUUAACCCAGAGACGGCUUCCAAAACUGCUGUGCUUGAGUGUGGGAGAGGCUCGUGGAAUUGCAGGUGUAGCGGUGAAAUGCGCAGAUAUCGGGAGGAACACCGGUGGCGAAGGCGGUUCUCUGGGCCUUACCUGACGCUGAGGAGCGAAAGCGUGGGGAGCGAACAGG
This 253-nucleotide ribosomal RNA is filed under the name uncultured bacterium. Its description in RNAcentral is "partial 16S ribosomal RNA". It matches the Rfam family "Bacterial small subunit ribosomal RNA", at positions 524 to 776 of the family's 1533-position model. The record is from RNAcentral.